This 450-nucleotide small RNA is filed under the name Pan troglodytes (chimpanzee). RNAcentral describes it as "retained intron". Lineage: Eukaryota; Metazoa; Chordata; Mammalia; Primates; Hominidae. The record is from RNAcentral.
AGGAAACAGUGUAUAGAGAAUAUGUCUUAUAUUCCAAGAUGUGGAAAGAGUUGUAUGUUAUCCUUUGGCUCAUCCUCGAAAGUAGUAGUGGCCCCCUGUGCAAUGUGUUGCGUAAACGUGCUUUGAAAUUUCUCCUUCCGUGGGACGUGGCCAGUUGGACAUCUGCCGCCAACACUGAUGUGCAUUUGCUGGUCUGUUGUAGGGUCUGAGUGCCCGGACCGCUUGGCUAUGGACUUUGGUGGGGCUGGUGCCGCCCAGCAAGGGCUGACUGACAGCUGCCAGUCUGGAGGCGUUCCCACAGCUGUGCAGAACUUAGCGCCACGCGCUGCUGUUGCCGCUGCUGCUCCCCGGGCUGUUGCCCCCUACAAGUACGCCUCCAGUGUCCGCAGCCCUCAUCCUGCCAUACAGCCUCUGCAGGCACCCCAGCCUGCGGUCCAUGUGCAGGGGCAG